Humulus lupulus (European hop) is the source of this 288-nucleotide long non-coding RNA. RefSeq lists it as uncharacterized. Lineage: Eukaryota; Viridiplantae; Streptophyta; Magnoliopsida; Rosales; Cannabaceae. The record is from RefSeq and is a predicted model, not a curated record. The transcript has 3 exons.
UAGAAGACAUGUGAGCCUUGAGAAUUCUUGUUGUGUGGCUGUCGAAACUCGGAGAGAAUGAGAGAAAGGGGAGCACGAAAAAGAGAAAGAAAAGAGAGAAAGGAUGAGGAUAAGAGAAAAGGGCUUCAAGGAUCUCUAGGUGCCUAAGGAUUGAUUUGCUUUGUGUUCUUGAACACUAUCAAGAAAGGUAAACACGCUAGGUAGACUUGUUUGGCACACAUGGUGAGCCGAGUCAGUUUUCCAUAAGCAUGUAUGUAUGUUGCAGGGAGCCAUUGAACAAGAAAACGA